GAUGAACGCUGGCGGCGUGCCUAAUACAUGCAAGUCGAGCGAACGGACGAGAAGCUUGCUCUCUGAUGUUAGCGGCGGACGGGUGAGUAACACGUGGAUAACCUACCUAUAAGACUGGGAUAACUUCGGGAAACCGGAGCUAAUACCGGAUAAUAUUUUGAACCGCAUGGUUCAAAAGUGAAAGACGGUCUUGCUGUCACUUAUAGAUGGAUCCGCGCUGCAUUAGCUAGUUGGUAAGGUAACGGCUUACCAAGGCAACGAUGCAUAGCCGACCUGAGAGGGUGAUCGGCCACACUGGAACUGAGACACGGUCCAGACUCCUACGGGAGGCAGCAGUAGGGAAUCUUCCGCAAUGGGCGAAAGCCUGACGGAGCAACGCCGCGUGAGUGAUGAAGGUCUUCGGAUCGUAAAACUCUGUUAUUAGGGAAGAACAUAUGUGUAAGUAACUGUGCACAUCUUGACGGUACCUAAUCAGAAAGCCACGGCUAACUACGUG
This 496-nucleotide ribosomal RNA is filed under the name uncultured bacterium. RNAcentral's name for it is "partial 16S ribosomal RNA". It matches the Rfam family "Bacterial small subunit ribosomal RNA", at positions 28 to 507 of the family's 1533-position model. The record is from RNAcentral.